UGGGGAAUAUUGCACAAUGGGCGCAAGCCUGAUGCAGCCAUGCCGCGUGUAUGAAGAAGGCCUUCGGGUUGUAAAGUACUUUCAGUCGGGAGGAAGGUGGUAAGGUUAAUAACCUUAUCAAUUGACGUUACCGACAGAAGAAGCACCGGCUAACUCCGUGCCAGCAGCCGCGGUAAUACGGAGGGUGCAAGCGUUAAUCGGAAUUACUGGGCGUAAAGCGCACGCAGGCGGUUGAUUGAGUCAGAUGUGAAAUCCCCGGGCUUAACCCGGGAAUUGCAUCUGAUACUGGUCAGCUAGAGUCUUGUAGAGGGGGGUAGAAUUCCAUGUGUAGCGGUGAAAUGCGUAAAGAUGUGGAGGAAUACCGGUGGCGAAGGCGGCCCCCUGGACAAAGACUGACGCUCAGGUGCGAAAGCGUGGGGAGCAAACAGG
This 429-nucleotide ribosomal RNA is filed under the name Chloroflexota bacterium. Its description in RNAcentral is "Chloroflexi bacterium partial 16S ribosomal RNA". It matches the Rfam family "Bacterial small subunit ribosomal RNA", at positions 355 to 776 of the family's 1533-position model. Lineage: Bacteria; Bacillati; Chloroflexota. The record is from RNAcentral.